RNAcentral lists this ribosomal RNA (1528 nucleotides) under Lacticaseibacillus paracasei. RNAcentral's name for it is "bacterial SSU rRNA". It matches the Rfam family "Bacterial small subunit ribosomal RNA". Lineage: Bacteria; Bacillati; Bacillota; Bacilli; Lactobacillales; Lactobacillaceae. The record is from RNAcentral.
CUGCCAGAUGAACGCUGGCGGCGUGCCUAAUACAUGCAAGUCGAACGAGUUCUCGUUGAUGAUCGGUGCUUGCACCGAGAUUCAACAUGGAACGAGUGGCGGACGGGUGAGUAACACGUGGGUAACCUGCCCUUAAGUGGGGGAUAACAUUUGGAAACAGAUGCUAAUACCGCAUAGAUCCAAGAACCGCAUGGUUCUUGGCUGAAAGAUGGCGUAAGCUAUCGCUUUUGGAUGGACCCGCGGCGUAUUAGCUAGUUGGUGAGGUAAUGGCUCACCAAGGCGAUGAUACGUAGCCGAACUGAGAGGUUGAUCGGCCACAUUGGGACUGAGACACGGCCCAAACUCCUACGGGAGGCAGCAGUAGGGAAUCUUCCACAAUGGACGCAAGUCUGAUGGAGCAACGCCGCGUGAGUGAAGAAGGCUUUCGGGUCGUAAAACUCUGUUGUUGGAGAAGAAUGGUCGGCAGAGUAACUGUUGUCGGCGUGACGGUAUCCAACCAGAAAGCCACGGCUAACUACGUGCCAGCAGCCGCGGUAAUACGUAGGUGGCAAGCGUUAUCCGGAUUUAUUGGGCGUAAAGCGAGCGCAGGCGGUUUUUUAAGUCUGAUGUGAAAGCCCUCGGCUUAACCGAGGAAGCGCAUCGGAAACUGGGAAACUUGAGUGCAGAAGAGGACAGUGGAACUCCAUGUGUAGCGGUGAAAUGCGUAGAUAUAUGGAAGAACACCAGUGGCGAAGGCGGCUGUCUGGUCUGUAACUGACGCUGAGGCUCGAAAGCAUGGGUAGCGAACAGGAUUAGAUACCCUGGUAGUCCAUGCCGUAAACGAUGAAUGCUAGGUGUUGGAGGGUUUCCGCCCUUCAGUGCCGCAGCUAACGCAUUAAGCAUUCCGCCUGGGGAGUACGACCGCAAGGUUGAAACUCAAAGGAAUUGACGGGGGCCCGCACAAGCGGUGGAGCAUGUGGUUUAAUUCGAAGCAACGCGAAGAACCUUACCAGGUCUUGACAUCUUUUGAUCACCUGAGAGAUCAGGUUUCCCCUUCGGGGGCAAAAUGACAGGUGGUGCAUGGUUGUCGUCAGCUCGUGUCGUGAGAUGUUGGGUUAAGUCCCGCAACGAGCGCAACCCUUAUGACUAGUUGCCAGCAUUUAGUUGGGCACUCUAGUAAGACUGCCGGUGACAAACCGGAGGAAGGUGGGGAUGACGUCAAAUCAUCAUGCCCCUUAUGACCUGGGCUACACACGUGCUACAAUGGAUGGUACAACGAGUUGCGAGACCGCGAGGUCAAGCUAAUCUCUUAAAGCCAUUCUCAGUUCGGACUGUAGGCUGCAACUCGCCUACACGAAGUCGGAAUCGCUAGUAAUCGCGGAUCAGCACGCCGCGGUGAAUACGUUCCCGGGCCUUGUACACACCGCCCGUCACACCAUGAGAGUUUGUAACACCCGAAGCCGGUGGCGUAACCCUUUUAGGGAGCGAGCCGUCUAAGGUGGGACAAAUGAUUAGGGUGAAGUCGUAACAAGGUAGCCGUAGGAGAACC